This 254-nucleotide ribosomal RNA is filed under the name uncultured bacterium. Its description in RNAcentral is "partial 16S ribosomal RNA". It matches the Rfam family "Bacterial small subunit ribosomal RNA", at positions 524 to 776 of the family's 1533-position model. The record is from RNAcentral.
UACGUAGGGUGCGAGCGUUGUCCGGAAUUAUUGGGCGUAAAGAGCUCGUAGGCGGUCUGUCGCGUCGGUCGUGAAAACCUGCAGCUUAACUGUGGGCGUGCGGUCGAUACGGGCAUGACUGGAGUUCGGCAGGGGAGACUGGAAUUCCUGGUGUAGCGGUGAAAUGCGCAGAUAUCAGGAGGAACACCGAUGGCGAAGGCAGGUCUCUGGGCAUUAACUGACGCUGAGGAGCGAAAGCGUGGGGAGCGAACAGG